UGGGGAAUUUUGGACAAUGGGCGAAAGCCUGAUCCAGCAAUGCCGCGUGUGUGAAGAAGGCCUUCGGGUUGUAAAGCACUUUUGUCCGGAAAGAAAUCCUUGGCUCUAAUACAGUCGGGGGAUGACGGUACCGGAAGAAUAAGCACCGGCUAACUACGUGCCAGCAGCCGCGGUAAUACGUAGGGUGCAAGCGUUAAUCGGAAUUACUGGGCGUAAAGCGUGCGCAGGCGGUUUGCUAAGACCGAUGUGAAAUCCCCGGGCUCAACCUGGGAACUGCAUUGGUGACUGGCAGGCUAGAGUAUGGCAGAGGGGGGUAGAAUUCCACGUGUAGCAGUGAAGUGCGUAGAGAUGUGGAGGAAUACCGAUGGCGAAGGCAGCCCCCUGGGCCAAUACUGACGCUCAUGCACGAAAGCGUGGGGAGCAAACAGGAUUAGAUACCCUGGUAGUCCACGCCCUAAACGAUGUCAACUAGUUGUUGGGGAUUCAUUUCCUUAGUAACGUAGCUAACGCGUGAAGUUGACCGCCUGGGGAGUACGGUCGCAAGAUUAAAACUUAAAUGAAUUGACGGGGUCAUAGCUGUUUCCU
Molecule: ribosomal RNA, 585 nt
Filed under: uncultured bacterium
Lineage: Bacteria
Description: partial 16S ribosomal RNA
Rfam family: Bacterial small subunit ribosomal RNA
Source: RNAcentral